CGGCCUACCAAGGCGACGAUCCAUAGCCGGCCUGAGAGGGUGAACGGCCACAUUGGGACUGAGACACGGCCCAGACUCCUACGGGAGGCAGCAUG
RNAcentral lists this ribosomal RNA (95 nucleotides) under uncultured bacterium. RNAcentral's name for it is "partial 16S ribosomal RNA". It matches the Rfam family "Bacterial small subunit ribosomal RNA", at positions 261 to 353 of the family's 1533-position model. The record is from RNAcentral.